CCUUCCCCCGCAAAAAACUGCGAAGAACCAACAGAAACAGAGAAGAUUAGCAUGGUCUCUGCACAAAGAUGACAUGCGAAUUCGUGAAGCGUUCCAUAUUUGU
Octopus bimaculoides (California two-spot octopus) is the source of this 103-nucleotide non-coding RNA. The record is from Rfam. NCBI's taxonomy places the organism in Eukaryota, Metazoa, Mollusca, Cephalopoda, Octopoda, Octopodidae.